Molecule: long non-coding RNA, 474 nt
Filed under: Homo sapiens (human)
Lineage: Eukaryota; Metazoa; Chordata; Mammalia; Primates; Hominidae
Description: SLIRP overlapping transcript 1
Source: RNAcentral
CGGGAGGGCGUAGCCGUAGUCUUGGCCCACGUCAUUCUGUGCCCCGGGUCAGGUCACCGCCCGGAGGGUAUGGGAAGAGAAAUGAAGAAGACUGGUACUCCCAGACCCUUCCGUAUCGAGGACCCCAAUCAACAACCCACCUGAGAUGGGGUCCCACUAUUUUGCCCAGGCUGGUCUUGAACUGCUGGGCUCAAGCAAUCCUCCUGCCUCAGCCUCCCAAAGUGCUGGGAUUACAGGUGUGAGCCACUGUGCCCGGCCCGGAGAACAUGAUCUUAACCAUACUGUCUUCCAAGUGAAAGAUUCUACCUUUCUAAGACAUCUGGAGUCAGACAGACCUGAGUUCAAGUCGUGCCUUCCUCCCCACUUUACUGAACCUUCAGUGAGUCUUUCUACCUCAGAAGGCUGUGAGGAUGCCAUGGGGUAAUGAAUGUAAAGUGUUUAAGUGCUUGGCUGACACUGAGUACUAAAUAAAUA